This 30-nucleotide non-coding RNA is filed under the name Mus musculus (house mouse). The record is from RNAcentral. Lineage: Eukaryota; Metazoa; Chordata; Mammalia; Rodentia; Muridae.
ACUGUGUGCUAGAGAGUGAGUCACUUUCCA